This is a long non-coding RNA of Macrobrachium nipponense, 511 nucleotides long. RefSeq lists it as uncharacterized. The transcript is spliced from 3 exons. NCBI's taxonomy places the organism in Eukaryota, Metazoa, Arthropoda, Malacostraca, Decapoda, Palaemonidae. The record is from RefSeq and is a predicted model, not a curated record.
UGUUCCGUUUUUCCCCACCGCGAUGGAGGAGGAUUGUCUGGAUUUGUGUGGUAACACUGGAGAAGUAAACGAGCCAUCUUGGAAAUUUGUUUGUGUGUGGGACUUCAGGAAUUCCAAUUUCAGGAUUCUUUCAGAAACUUCCAUCCAAAGAUUACAACGUGGAACUUUUGGAACGGAUCCCUUUACUCAAAAAACCAUGACUACUCUGCCCCAACCCCCGCCCCAGUUCCUUUUGAGCUUUUGGAAUAAGAUCUCCAGGUUUGGAUUUAAACUUUCACAAUUAAGCUGAGGUUCGUUGCAUUGGAGAAAAAGGGAUUCAGUUGUGCAAAUGUACUGCUGAUUUUUGAAGUUUUAUAAACUGCUUUGAACUCUACAUUUACCUUCUCGGUGAGGUGGAGAGAUCCUGGAAAGUGCUACCUUGAACGCUGCUUCUAAUGGCAUUGAGUUGAUUUUGACUAGUUUAUACAAGCUGAUGUAUAUUGCCAAUAAGCAACUGAAUAUACUGCGUUGA